Molecule: non-coding RNA, 185 nt
Organism: Salmo salar (Atlantic salmon)
Lineage: Eukaryota; Metazoa; Chordata; Actinopteri; Salmoniformes; Salmonidae
Source: RefSeq, a predicted model, not a curated record
AUCGCUUCUCGCCUUUGGCUCAGAUCAAAUGUAGUAUCUGUUCUUAUCAGUUUAAUAUUCUGAUACGUCCCAUCGGGGACUACAUAAUAAUUGAAUUUUUCUAUCAGGAGUCGGAAAUGGGCUUGUUCGGUCCGCCCACGCAUCGACUCGGUAUUGCAGUACUCUCCGGGAACGGUGUGCAACAA